Ceratina calcarata is the source of this 379-nucleotide long non-coding RNA. RefSeq lists it as uncharacterized. The record is from RefSeq and is a predicted model, not a curated record. NCBI's taxonomy places the organism in Eukaryota, Metazoa, Arthropoda, Insecta, Hymenoptera, Apidae. The transcript has 2 exons.
GAGACACCGAUUAAGCUUGCGACGCCCACCUUCUGAUACGUGACCGCGAGGAUAAUGAUAAUCUGAAAAUGGGAAUCGAUGCGAAAUAACAAAUGUCAACGAAGAUGAACGUAUCCUUUCACGUUACCUGAAUCGGAGUGAUCCAAACGAAAUUGAGAUAAAAGCACAACUCGUCGAACCGGCUGACGUCGUUGCUCAGUAGAUUCACCACCUGGCCAGCGCUGACUUUGAAAAAUGCUGCUCUGCUAAGUCUCAAAAUCUACAACAUAGAGAACAGUGUGAAAAUAAAACCGAGGUACUAUCAGUAACUCUGAAGGACAGUUUUAAUUAAAACACGGAAUAUGUAAUCGUCGAAUAAAUUACGUAAAUUACGAGCGUC